AUGGCAUGUGGUCAGCGGUUGUGCGAUCUGAGCGGAGGGACUUGUGACAGCAAGCGCGAAUCAGAUGAAUCCAUCGACGGCGUGGUCGGAAUCGUGGUGGUGACAGCUGGAGAUUGCAGUGAGAGGUUGUGUGAUGCUGUGGGGACGGUGGGAUCGUGGUAUCGCCGAUCAAAGCUUCAGCGGAGUCCUGUCACGCAUGGUCGCUGUUUCGGCUUGCGCUGUCGGAAGGAAUCCCUACGUGUAGGACCAGCGGAUACAGUAGACGGUGCUAAGCCACGUGAAAAAGCAGAAACAUCAGCUUGA
This is a non-coding RNA of Vicia faba (fava bean), 303 nucleotides long. Lineage: Eukaryota; Viridiplantae; Streptophyta; Magnoliopsida; Fabales; Fabaceae. The record is from the annotation of a GenBank genome assembly.